This 410-nucleotide RNase P RNA is filed under the name Streptomyces sp. ISL-21. RNAcentral's name for it is "RNase P RNA component class A". It matches the Rfam family "Bacterial RNase P class A". From Rfam's summary of the family: Ribonuclease P (RNase P) is a ubiquitous endoribonuclease, found in archaea, bacteria and eukarya as well as chloroplasts and mitochondria. Its best characterised activity is the generation of mature 5'-ends of tRNAs by cleaving the 5'-leader elements of precursor-tRNAs. RNAcentral also lists the same sequence under 2 other names. Lineage: Bacteria; Bacillati; Actinomycetota; Actinomycetes; Kitasatosporales; Streptomycetaceae. The record is from RNAcentral.
CGAGUCGGCUGGGCGGCCGCGUCGGGAUCUUCGGAUCCCGCCGAGGAACGUCCGGGCUCCACAGGGCAGGGUGGUGGGUAACGCCCACCCGGGGUGACCCGCGGGACAGUGCCACAGAAAACAGACCGCCGGGGGCUUCGGUCCUCGGUAAGGGUGAAACGGUGGUGUAAGAGACCACCAGCGCCUGAGGUGACUCAGGCGGCUAGGUAAACCCCACCCGGAGCAAGGUCAAGAGGGGUUGUCCGUUUUCGGACGGCCAACCCUGCGCGAACGUUCGAGGGCUGCCCGCCCGAGUUCGCGGGUAGACCGCACGAGGCCGGUGGCAACACCGGUCCUAGAUGGAUGGCCGUCUCCCCGGCGACCGCGAGGUCUCCGGGCGACAGAACCCGGCGUACAGGCCGGCUCGUCUG